Molecule: long non-coding RNA, 1312 nt
Filed under: Numida meleagris (helmeted guineafowl)
Lineage: Eukaryota; Metazoa; Chordata; Aves; Galliformes; Numididae
Description: lncRNA (ENSNMEG00000013474.1)
Source: RNAcentral
GCAAGCAUGACGUCAGCACAGGUGCUUGAGUAUGUCAUCAUCACAGCCUUAGUUAUUAAGAUGGUAGUGAAUUACCACUAAAUAGCGACAGCUCUAAAGACACUGAGCAGCCGCUCUCUGGUGUGCUGCUCUACCAUACAUAAGGAGGAGGGUUAUCAGAUCCUUCACUAAGAAAAGAACAACGUUGUGAUUUGCACAGCUCAUCCCAAAUUCAUAGUGGGUGACAGAAAACUGAAAACUAAGUUAUUUCAGUCCUGAGAGAUUACCAACACAGGAAGACACAUUUGCUCUCUUUUCUAGAUAGCUGUCCCCAGACUUUCUCCUACAGCCUUCCUGAAAACUCUGAAAUGCCGGGAGAUCCAAUUCUAGCCCAUCUGGUUACCUGAUACUAGAACAAAAGGGCAAGCAGACAUACGCCUAACCAGUGAACACUAAACCCAAAUAUUUCUGAACGUCUGGAAGGUUGCGUUUGUCCAGACCUUGACCUUAUCUUUGGGGAUAAAGACUGUCUUCUACUAGACUGAAACAAUGAGAACAAUGAAAACUGCAAACACUUCUGGCUUUCACAGACACAUUUGGAUUUUUCUGCAAACCUUAGUUUUACUCAGUUUUCCUCUGGGAGUAUGAUCUUAAAAGAUUUAUUUUGAGAAAAAAAAGUCUGGAGAACAACCUGUGCAGUCCUAAUGAACCUAUCUGGUACUAAAUGUGGAAUUUCCAAAUGCUUCCUAAGACCAAUCUUGUUAUGGAUUACCUUGUAAUAACGUGAACGCUCCAUCAUAGUUCUAGGGAUCUCACCCACCAACUGUGAAAUAUUCAUCUGAUCCAUCUUCUUGCUAUGAAGAAAGACUACAAUUAUCUCGAUAAUGGCUGGGAAUCUCAUCUGCAACACAAUUAGGAGAACUCACAGUGGCUGGAGAAUCAGUAGUUCUCUGGUCCCAGGAAGAACAGAGGGGUACGAGCAUUUGAUCUGUGAUCUCCACAGAGCCAUGGAGGCUCAAGAUAGCAGAGAUAUUUGCAUCUCUGUGGCACUCCUAUUCAAAACAAAGAGAUAUCUUGUUGGCAGCAACAUGAAAAAUUCGGAGUGGCCAAAACAACCAACAUGUUUAAUUACAUACAUUUUGUGAUGCAAAAGCAAGAGGCGGAAGACACCUCUCUUUAUGUCCAACUGAUACCCAUGACAAAACUUCUACAGCACUACUUGCUACUUCUCCUGUAUAUUAAAAUAUAUAUAUUAAAUAUGAUUAUAUGAAGUACUGACUAGAGAGUUAACUGUGGUACUGUUUUUUUUUUCUUCCAAUCCUUACAUUUUUUG